Molecule: ribosomal RNA, 778 nt
Filed under: uncultured Neocallimastigales
Lineage: Eukaryota; Fungi; Neocallimastigomycota; Neocallimastigomycetes; Neocallimastigales
Description: partial large subunit ribosomal RNA
Rfam family: Eukaryotic large subunit ribosomal RNA
Source: RNAcentral
GUACACGCUGUGACUAGCAUAUCAAUAAGCGGAGGAAAAGAAACUAACAAGGAUUCCCCUCAGUAACGGCGAGUGAAGCGGGAAGAGCUCAAAUUUGAAAUCUUAAAGGGUUCCCUUUCACGAAUUGUAGUUUAAAGAAGUGUUUUCUGUUACGAGUCUGGUAUAUAAGUUCUUUGGAAUAGGACAUCACAGAGGGUGAGAAUCCCGUCUAUGAUUGCCAUUAUUUAGCUUUGUGAUACACUUUCAAAGAGUCGGAUUGUUUGGGAAUGCAGUCCAAAAUGGGUGGUAAAUUUCAUCUAAAGCUAAAUAUUGGCGAGAGACCGAUAGCGAACAAGUACCGUGAGGGAAAGAUGAAAAGAACUUUGAAAAGAGAGUUAAACAGUACGUGAAAUUGUCAAAGGGAAGCGUUUGACACCAGUGUUGUUUUUCUGAAAAUCAAUUAAAGAACUGUUUAUGCUAAGCUGUUUAGACUUUAUCAGCUAAUCUGUUUAGUUUUGAGCUUUUCUUUAAUGCACUUUUCAGUUAACAAGUCAACAUCAAUUUCUUUUGCUGUAAAAAAGCUUGAGGAAGGUGGCUUGAGAUUCGUCUUAAGUGUUUAUAGCCUCUUGCCUAUGCAGUCGGAGAGAUUGAGGUCUGCAGCGUAGAUCCUUCGGGGCUAAAUGCAUUUGUGCUAAGUUAUAGCAUUUUAUAGACAACUUGUUGACUAUGAUUUGUCUUGUAGCUUACUCGCUUAUGUUAUUUUACCUACGCUUAGGAUGUUGACGCAUGAGAUAUACGC